RNAcentral lists this small RNA (80 nucleotides) under Kaistella jeonii. Its description in RNAcentral is "Chryseobacterium jeonii Flavo-1 RNA". It matches the Rfam family "Flavo-1 RNA". The record is from RNAcentral. Lineage: Bacteria; Pseudomonadati; Bacteroidota; Flavobacteriia; Flavobacteriales; Weeksellaceae.
AAGUAGCCCCGACUGCAACGGCAUCCUUUUUCUUUUUUUUAGGAAAAAAGGAAAAGAUAUAGUGGAAAGCGGGUUAAAGC